AAAGAAAUUCGAAGCAAGCAAGUUAUUCCACACACUGGUGGCUCCAAAGUUAAUCUUAGAAGAAGAAAUGAGUUGUUGCUAGAAACACGGAAGGUACCAAGUCAUGGACAAUUAUAUAUUGAAACUCAUAAAAGGAAAGAUGGAUCAUUUGUAAAUGAUGCAGCAAAGACUAUAGUGGUAAAUUUUUCUUUAGAAACAUUGAUUUCAAGGAUUGUGUUUAAUCUUAAAACUUUUUUAUAUUUGAUAUUGUUACAUGUUUGUAAGAACAAAUUCAAGUAGGUUUGACUCAAAGCAUAGUUGAUGAAUAUGAAGUUUCUCCUCUAGAUGUUGUUGGUAGAGUGCUAGGGCCAGAGCACUCUAGGAGAGUACGAUGCAUGGGAUUGGGUGUUGUUCCUUCUAAUACAUUUAAGAAUACAAGACUUUGUGUUUCUAGCUUGAGCUCUUCUUCAUCUGGUGUUGCCUUUCCAUCUUUAAACCAAUGGCAAGAGAAAUACAACAAUUUAGAAUCAGCUUUUAAGGCCUACAUGAAAGAAGGAUCCCUGAAAAAUUAGCUAGUUAUUUCACUCCUGAAACACAUCCAAUCGAUGCUUCAAGUGUUCCUAAUACACCUUUGGAUGCAAGAGGAUCAUUUGGUGCUAGCAACCCUUAGUUUGCAUAUAAAGUAUUUUGGAUUUAAAGUUUAGUAUGAGGCUAAUUUGACAAUGUUAUGGAUUUUAUGUUGUACUUGGAUUUAUAAUAGAAGUUUGAAUUAUAAAUCUUUGAACUA
Cajanus cajan (pigeon pea) is the source of this 766-nucleotide long non-coding RNA. RefSeq lists it as uncharacterized. Lineage: Eukaryota; Viridiplantae; Streptophyta; Magnoliopsida; Fabales; Fabaceae. The record is from RefSeq and is a predicted model, not a curated record.